UACGGAGGGGGCCAGCGUUGUUCGGAAUCAUUGGGCGUAAAGGGCGCGUAGGCGGCCGAUCAAGUCGAACGUGAAAUCCCCCGGCUCAACCGGGGACCUGCGUCCGAUACUGUUCGGCUCGAGUCCCGGAGAGGGUAGUGGAAUUCCCAGUGUAGCGGUGAAAUGCGUAGAUACUGGGAGGAACACCGGUGGCGAAGGCGGCUACCUGGACGGGUACUGACGCUGAGGCGCGAGAGCUGGGGGAGCAAACAGG
RNAcentral lists this ribosomal RNA (253 nucleotides) under uncultured bacterium. RNAcentral describes it as "partial 16S ribosomal RNA". It matches the Rfam family "Bacterial small subunit ribosomal RNA", at positions 524 to 776 of the family's 1533-position model. The record is from RNAcentral.